AGGAAGCAGGUUAAUAUUCCUGCACUUUUCUUAAGUGCGAUGUGGGGACGGAGAAGGUUAGGUCUACCAGGCGUUGGUUGUCCUGGGGAAAGGAGGUAGGCGGUGAUCUUAGGCAAAUCCGGGAUCACUUACGCCGAGCACCGAGACGAGUCCUAUGAGGACGAAGUGACUGACACCACGCUUCCAGGAAAAGCCACUAAGCUUCAGCUUAAGAAAAACCGUACCGCAAACCGACACAGGUAGGCAGGGUGAGAAUCCCAAGGCGCUUGAGAGAACUCGGGUGAAGGAACUAGGCAAAAUGGCACCGUAACUUCGGGAGAAGGUGCGCCCUUUGGUGUGGUCACGUCGUGACUGAGCAUCGAAGGGUCGCAGUAACCUGGCCGCUGCGACUGUUUAUCAAAAACACAGCACUCUGCAAACACGAAAGUGGACGUAUAGGGUGUGACGCCUGCCCGGUGCUGGAAGGUUAAUUGAUGGGGUCAGCCGCAAGGCGAAGCUCUUGAUCGAAGCCCCAGUAAACGGCGGCCGUAACAAUAACGGUCCUAAGGUAGCGAAAUUCCUUGUCGGGUAAGUUCCGACCUGCACGAAUGGCGUAACGACAGCGGCGCUGUCUCCACCCGAGACUCAGUGAAAUUGAAAUCGCUGUGAAGAUGCAGCGUUCCCGCGGCAAGACGGAAAGACCCCGUGAACCUUUACUAUAGCUUUACACUGAACGUUGAGUUCUUCUGUGUAGGAUAGGUGGGAGGCUAUGAAACCAGGACGCUAGUUCUGGUGGAGCCAUCCUUGAAAUACCACCCUGAAGUGCUUGACGUUCUAACCUAGGCCCGUAAUCCGGGUCAGGGACCGUGUAUGGUGGGUAGUUUGACUGGGGCGGUCUCCUCCCAAAGAGUAACGGAGGAGCACGAAGGUACGCUCAGCGCGGUCGGACAUCGCGCACUGUGUGCAAAGGCAUAAGCGUGCUUGACUGCGAGAUCGACGGAUCAAGCAGGUACGAAAGUAGGUCUUAGUGAUCCGGUGGUUCUGUAUGGAAGGGCCAUCGCUCAACGGAUAAAAGGUACUCCGGGGAUAACAGGCUGAUACCGCCCAAGAGUUCAUAUCGACGGCGGUGUUUGGCACCUCGAUGUCGGCUCAUCACAUCCUGGGGCUGUAGCCGGUCCCAAGGGUAUGGCUGUUCGCCAUUUAAAGUGGUACGCGAGCUGGGUUCAGAACGUCGUGAGACAGUUCGGUCCCUAUCUGUCGUGGGCGUUGGAGAUUUGAGGGGGGCUGCUCCUAGUACGAGAGGACCGGAGUGGACGUUCCGCUGGUGUUCGGGUUGUCAUGCCCAUGGCAUUGCCCGGUAGCUACGAACGGAAGUGAUAACCGCUGAAAGCAUCUAAGCGGGAAGCACGCCCCAAGAUGAGAUCUCCCGAGAGCUUGACUCUCCUAAAGGCACCAUCAAGACUAGGUGGUUGAUAGGUCAGGUGUGGAAGCGCAGCAAUGCGUUGAGCUAACUGAUACUAAUGAGCCGUGAGGCUUGACCAA
RNAcentral lists this ribosomal RNA (1521 nucleotides) under metagenome. RNAcentral's name for it is "bacterial LSU rRNA". It matches the Rfam family "Bacterial large subunit ribosomal RNA", at positions 1420 to 2925 of the family's 2925-position model. The record is from RNAcentral.